AGUGAGGAAUAUUGGUCAAUGGUCGCAAGACUGAACCAGCCAUGCCGCGUGCAGGAAGACGGUCCUAUGGAUUGUAAACUGCUUUUAUACAGGAAGAAACCCUCCCACGUGUGGGAGCUUGACGGUACUGUAGGAAUAAGGAUCGGCUAACUCCGUGCCAGCAGCCGCGGUAAUACGGAGGAUCCAAGCGUUAUCCGGAAUCAUUGGGUUUAAAGGGUCCGUAGGCGGUCUUAUAAGUCAGUGGUGAAAGCCCAUCGCUCAACGAUGGAACUGCCAUUGAUACUGUAAGACUUGAAUGCUUAGGAAGUAACUAGAAUAUGUAGUGUAGCGGUGAAAUGCUUAGAUAUUACAUGGAAUACCAAUUGCGAAGGCAGGUUACUACUAAGUGAUUGACGCUGAUGGACGAAAGCGUGGGGAGCGAA
Molecule: ribosomal RNA, 422 nt
Filed under: uncultured Flavobacterium sp.
Lineage: Bacteria; Pseudomonadati; Bacteroidota; Flavobacteriia; Flavobacteriales; Flavobacteriaceae
Description: bacterial SSU rRNA
Rfam family: Bacterial small subunit ribosomal RNA
Source: RNAcentral